GACGGCUCUAAUCCAAGCCAUAGUGGCCCCUUUAUAGCUGCCGUGGAUAGUAAAGAGCCAAUAGAGACGUUUCCUUGACGGUCGCUGGUCAGACUGCUGGGGGGCUAAUCAGCAACAUAUCGGGAAACAACACCC
Xenopus tropicalis (tropical clawed frog) is the source of this 135-nucleotide small nucleolar RNA. The record is from Ensembl. NCBI's taxonomy places the organism in Eukaryota, Metazoa, Chordata, Amphibia, Anura, Pipidae.